UGAGUAACACGUAUCCAACCUGCCGUCUACUCUUGGACAGCCUUCUGAAAGGAAGAUUAAUACAAGAUGGCAUCAUGAGUCCACAUGUUCACAUGAUUAAAGGUAUUCCGGUAGACGAUGGGGAUGCGUUCCAUUAGAUAGUAGGCGGGGUAACGGCCCACCUAGUCAACGAUGGAUAGGGGUUCUGAGAGGAGGGUCCCCCACAUUGGAACUGAGACACGGUCCAA
Molecule: ribosomal RNA, 227 nt
Filed under: uncultured bacterium
Lineage: Bacteria
Description: partial 16S ribosomal RNA
Rfam family: Bacterial small subunit ribosomal RNA
Source: RNAcentral